Molecule: unclassified non-coding RNA, 347 nt
Filed under: soil metagenome
Description: partial contains 5.8S ribosomal RNA, internal transcribed spacer 2, and large subunit ribosomal RNA
Rfam family: 5.8S ribosomal RNA (bases 1-120)
Source: RNAcentral
GAUGAAGAACGUAGCGAAAUGCGAUAAGUAAUGUGGAUUGCAGAAUUCAGUGAAUCAUCGAAUCUUUGAACGCAACUUGCGCUCUCUGGUAUUUCGGAGAGCAUGCCUGUUUGAGUAUCAUGAAAUCUCAACCAUUAGGGUUUCUUAAUGGCUUGGAAUUGGGUGUUGCCAGUCGCCUGGCUCGCCUUAAAAGAGUUAGCGUGUUUAACUUGUCUAUCUGGCGUAAUAAGUUUCGCUGGUGUCGGCUUGAGAAGUACGCUUCUAAUCGUCUUCGGACAAUUCUUGAACUCUGGUCUCAAAUCAGGUAGGGCUACCCGCUGAACUUAAGCAUAUCAAUAAGCGGAGGA